This 805-nucleotide ribosomal RNA is filed under the name uncultured bacterium. Its description in RNAcentral is "bacterial SSU rRNA". It matches the Rfam family "Bacterial small subunit ribosomal RNA", at positions 46 to 832 of the family's 1533-position model. RNAcentral also lists the same sequence under 1 other name. The record is from RNAcentral.
GGAUUAGGCAUGCAAGUCGCACGUGAAAGCCGCAAGGCGAGUAAAGUGGCGGACGGGCGAGUAACACGUAGUCAAGCUACCCUGGAGACGGGGAUAACCUCGGGAAACCGAGGCUAAUACCCGAUGGUGCUGUUGGGUUGCAUGAUCUGGCAGCUAAAUGGGGGGGAUCCUACGGGACCUCCUGCUCUGGGAGGUGACUGCGGCGCAUCAGCUAGUUGGCGGGGUAAAGGCCCACCAAGGCUAAGACGCGUAGCCGGCCUGAGAGGGUGGUCGGCCGCACUGGGACUGAGACACUGCCCAGACUCCUACGGGAGGCUGCAGUCGAGAAUCUUCCGCAAUGGGCGCAAGCCUGACGGAGCGACGCCGCGUGGAGGACGAAGGCCUUCGGGUUGUAAACUCCUGUCGAGGGUUAUGAAUGGCGCCGGGUGAACAGUCCGGCGAGUGACGUAAGCCCUGAAGGAAGCACUGGCUAACUCUGUGCCAGCAGCCGCGGUAAUACAGAGAGUGCGAACGUUGUUCGGAAUCACUGGGCAUAAAGCGCACGUAGGCGGCACCUCAAGUGCGGAGUGAAAUCCCACGGCUUACCCGUGGAACUGCUUCGCAGACUGUGGUGCUCGAGGAUGGUAGGGGAGAGCGGAACUCCUGGUGGAGCGGUGAAAUGCGUAGAGAUCAGGAGGAACACCGGUGGCGAAGGCGGCUCUCUGGUCCAUUACUGACGCUGAGGUGCGAAAGCCAGGGGAGCAAACGGGAUUAGAUACCCCGGUAGUCCUGGCCGUAAACGAUGGGCACUAAGUAGAGGGGUUUU